Molecule: non-coding RNA, 1607 nt
Organism: Poecilia reticulata (guppy)
Lineage: Eukaryota; Metazoa; Chordata; Actinopteri; Cyprinodontiformes; Poeciliidae
Source: RefSeq, a predicted model, not a curated record
CCAGGAGGUUCCUCAGGUUGUCGUCGUCGAACGGCAGCGCGCCCUGAGAGGAAGACACCAUGAURAUGAUGAUGAAGAACAGGAAAUGCAUCGUCGGCUGCGGUUUCAGUGAGAAACAUUCAUCACUCCACAUUCUGAAAAACUGCCUGGAAAGAGGAAAUAAAACAAGACGACUAAUCGAGCUGCACUGCAAAAACACGAAAUAUUGGCAAGUAAUUCUGGUCAAGUUUCUGCUGCAAAUGUCUUAGUUCACUUAAAGUCAGACUGAACCAACUUACAGGUAACUUUUCAUCAAGACGUAGGAUAAAUAAUUCCUCAGUAUUGAUUAAAAGGCUCUCGUUGCCCAGACAGAUUAUUUUACUUAUAAAACGUGAAUAAGUGAAUUAAUCUUGGUGAGAUUUUGUGUUUUUUCAGUGUGUAACUGAUCCUGUAGCAGAUCUCAAACAGCUGCAAAAACAAUUCAUCUGCUGAUAAAUAUUUCUACUUAAAUGCGACAAACGGCAUUAAAAUGUUGUAUUUUCCGACAGGUCGGUUCUGCAGAACCUCCGUCUGGUCCUCAGAACCAGCGAAGCGGAGAGCCCGGUUCCCCCAGCAGUGUGUGAACACACACACACUUCAUCUCCGCUGAUGACAUUCCUAAUUAUGUAAAUGGAGGUGAAGCAGGUCGACCGCAACACGCCGAGCGCCGUCAGAUCACAGCUUCCUGUCGGACUCGGCUCGUUUGGGUUUCAUUAACGGCGCUUGGUGGAGCCGAUCUGACCCGAACCCGUCGGAGCGCGGAGGAGGAGGAGAUCAGAACCGGAUCGGAGAAAGUUUCAGUCGCUGCAGGAGGACAACAAACAUGGCUGCUGCUGAUCUGCAGCUGCUGCUGAUCUGCAGAAACCAGUUUUAACAGCUGAAAAUUAACCAAAGACUCACUGAGACCCUCUAGUGGCCAAACUCAGAAUAUGAGAGAUUACGUUCCACAAACGGAUCGAUGAAAGGAUCGAUCAGUUUUCCGAGACAAAUUACUCAAAUCUGAUUGUUUUCCCCUCUUUAUUCACCAAAACCGAGGAAUCAGGCUGAAUUUACUCGGGUAAGAACUUCAGUUUUUCAUUUAGAGAUCUGCUGCUGAUCCCUGUAAAUCAAUCAAUCAAUCAAUCAAUCAAUCAAUCAAUCAAUCAAUCAAUCAAUCAGCAGCCCCUUUAAAUGUUGCUCUUACAUGGUUUUACACACAAUGAUCAGCUGCAGCAGAGAUUUGUACUUGAGUUUUCUGACUUUCCUCCACAUGUAGCGUUAGCAUAACAUGACGUUUUGAAGCCAAACAUGCUAUGCUAACGCUAAGUUCAGACUUUUUUUGGGCUCUGAAUCAUUUUCCAACAGAUAAGACGAGGCUGAGAAAAUUGAGACUUUCGGCUGCUUCCAUCCACUAAAGCUUUGUUUUAAACAAGCAUUCGGGUGAUGAGGUUGGGAGUUUAUCUGCUUCAAUGCUAACAGAAGCAUUGCUAACAGAAGAAGUGCUUUUAAAUCCCAGCUGAAGUGCUAGUCUGAUAGGUCUCAGCAUUUCUCUUUGCAUUUCCUCCUCAGUGGAUAAUUUAUCAAACAAAUCAAAUAAAAAAAACUAAAUC